Molecule: long non-coding RNA, 1403 nt
Filed under: Sus scrofa (pig)
Lineage: Eukaryota; Metazoa; Chordata; Mammalia; Artiodactyla; Suidae
Description: lncRNA (ENSSSCG00060065086.1)
Source: RNAcentral
UUUUUAUUUUUUGCUUUUUAGGGCCACACUUGCAGCAUAUAAAUGUUCCUGGAGAAGGGUUGAAUCAGAGCUACAGCUGCCGGCCUAUGCCACAGCCAUGGCAACAGACAAUCCAAACCACAUCUGCAACUUACACCACGGCUCACAGCAAAGACGGAUUCCUGACCCACUGAGCAAGGCCAGGGAUCUAACCCGCAACCUCAUGGACACUAGUCGGGUUUGUUUCCCCUGUGCCACAAUGGGAACUCCUGGAUUCUGAGUUUCUUAAAGAUUGUAGCAGCUGGCACACUCUCUCACACAUAAUAAACACUGUUAAUGUUCACUAAAAUGUAAUUGAGCUGAACCGCUAAUUAGAGAAAAUAUAAGAAGUUAAAUUAUUUGGUAUAUAUAUGGUUGACACAUAUUUGAAGUUUCUUAUUACACACUGGAUAUUUCUGAGUAUCCAGAGUUAGACAAAGCUUCAGAAUUUUGCCUACUUAAAAGAAAAAUCCUUCUGGACAUCCAAAAUCUGGAUAUCGCAUUAUAUUGUAUAACUGCUGCACAUAAGUUGAAGAAACUCAUUUGUCUUCAAAAUGCAGAAAGUGUUGAAAUAUCAGGACUAUUAUCUUGAUGAGUCGGCCUGAAGAAUUUCCUGGAACUUUGCAUUCUUGUUUCUGAUAACACACAACAGAAAUUUGGACUGAAAUCUAGACUCUUCAUCUCCUACUCAUAGCAAAUGUCCUCAAAAGACUGUGACUGUGUUUCUGGCAGUCAGAUAUUCUUAAUAACUGUUCACCUUUCCCCUUUGGCCUUCCAUGUGUCUGUGUUGUCUCUGGAGAGAAUUUAAGUCAGAAUCCGUGACUAAUGUUCAUAGUAUGUCAGCCAGACUAUUCCUCCAGUUAGCCAUCAACUCUCUGUCAUAACAUUGCUCUUGGUCACGUUAUUCGACUGCAUGAAAGAGCCCUACUUCGUGAUUGAAAUUCUGCUCUAAUAAGCCCUGCACUGUCAGGGGACUAGUUCUAGAAAGGGGUCUUUCUCAUGUAGACAUCCAUUUAUUCUGCAGGUAAUAAAGGAAGAAAGAAAGGGUGGCUUUCAGGAAUUUAGGUCUGGGGUCCUACACUGUAAAUGCAGUUUGGGUCUAGACAUCACAAAGAUCUCUUCUGUGUUCAACAGGGAUUCUCAGGCCUUUCAUUUCAGCCAACCUGGGAGUCACCUGAACCAAAAGUCACAACCAGAGGCAGGUAUCAGAGCAGGCAUGUUGUUUUCCUCUAAACGGCUGUGGGAGAGUUUUUGUUUUUUGGUUUUUUGUUUUUUUGGUUUUUUUUUGUUGUUGUUGUUGUUUUUGCCUUUUCUAGGGCUGCUCCUGUGGCAUAUGGAGGUUCCCAGCCCUUAAAAAAAAAAAAAAAGCAAAAGCAUUUUCAUAU